This 253-nucleotide ribosomal RNA is filed under the name uncultured bacterium. Its description in RNAcentral is "partial 16S ribosomal RNA". It matches the Rfam family "Bacterial small subunit ribosomal RNA", at positions 524 to 776 of the family's 1533-position model. The record is from RNAcentral.
UACGGGGGGGGCAAGCGUUGUUCGGAAUUACUGGGCGUAAAGAGCGCGCAGGCGGUCGUUCAAGUCGCGUGUGAAAGCCCCCGGCUCAACUGGGGAGGGUCACGCGAUACUGAUCGACUCGAAGGCAGGAGAGGGAAGUGGAAUUCCCGGUGUAGUGGUGAAAUGCGUAGACAUCGGGAGGAACACCAGUGGCGAAGGCGACUUCCUGGCCUGUUCUUGACGCUGAGGCGCGAAAGCUAGGGGAGCAAACGGG